GCCGCUUAACGGUAACAUGGCCUUGGAUACUGGAUGCCUUGAAUCUGACAGAGGUCGGUGGAAUUCGUAGUGUAGCGGUGAAAUGCAUAGAUAUUACGAAGAACACCAGUGGCGAAGGCGGCCGGCUGGGUCAGUAUUGACGCUGAGGCACGAGAGCGUGGGGAGCGAACAGGAUUAGAUACCCUGGUAGUCCACGCUGUAAACGAUGUAUGCUAGUUGUUGGGCCUUUGGGUUCAGUGACGCAGUUAACGCAGUAAGCAUACCACCUGGGGAGUACGUUCGCAAGAAUGAAACUCAAAGGAAUUGACGGGGGCCCGCACAAGCGGUGGAGCAUGUGGCUUAAUUCGAUGCAACGCGAAGAACCUUACCCGGGCUAAAUCCUGAUUUGAUACCCCGAAACGGGUAGUUCUCUUCGGAGCGGUCAGGAAGGUGCUGCAUGGCUGUCGUCAGCUCGUGCCGUGAGGUGUUGCCUUAAGUGGCGCAACGAGCGCAACCCCUAUGGUUAGUUACCAGCACGUAAUGGUGGGGACUCUAGCCAGACUGCCUACGCAAGUAGUGAGGAAGGUGGGGACGACGUCAAGUCAUCAUGGCCCUUAUGUCCGGGGCUGCACACGUGCUACAAUGGACGGUACAGAGGGAAGCCACCCAGCGAUGGGGCGCAGAUCUCGAAAGCCGUUCCCAGUUCGGAUUGGAGUCUGCAACUCGACUCCAUGAAGGUGGAAUCGCUAGUAAUCGCGUAUCAGCAACGACGCGGUGAAUACGUUCCCGGGCCUUGUACACACCGCCCGUCAAGCGAUGGAAGUCAGGAGUACCUGAUGUCGCCGUGCCAACCCUUCGG
This 838-nucleotide ribosomal RNA is filed under the name marine metagenome. RNAcentral's name for it is "bacterial SSU rRNA". It matches the Rfam family "Bacterial small subunit ribosomal RNA", at positions 604 to 1446 of the family's 1533-position model. The record is from RNAcentral.